UACGAGAGGCGCAAACGUUAUUCGGAAUUACUGGGCUUAAAGAGUUCGUAGGCGGCGCAGAAAGUAGGGUGUGAAAGCCCUCGGCUCAACCGAGGAAUUGCGCUCUAAACUACUGUGCUUGAGGGACCUAGAGGUGAGCGGAACUGAUGGUGGAGCGGUGAAAUGCGUUGAUAUCAGGAGGAACACCGGUGGCGAAGGCGGGUCUCUGGGCCGAUACUGACGCUGAGGAGCGAAAGCGUAGGGAGCAAACAGG
Molecule: ribosomal RNA, 253 nt
Filed under: uncultured bacterium
Lineage: Bacteria
Description: partial 16S ribosomal RNA
Rfam family: Bacterial small subunit ribosomal RNA
Source: RNAcentral